CAAUAGCGUAUAUUAAAGUUGUUGCAGUUAAAAAGCUCGUAGUUGGAUUUGUGGCGUCCGGUGUGUUCCGGGCACUUGUUGUCUGAGUAACCUGCUGUUGCCAUCCUUGGGUGGAACCUGUGUGGCAUUAGGUUGUCGUGCAGGGGAUGCCCAUCAUUUACUGUGAAAAAAUUAGAGUGUUCAAAGCAGGCUUAUGCCGUUGGAUAUAUUAGCAUGGAAUAAUGAGAUAGGACUUUUUUGCUAUUUUGUUGGUUUGCGCAAAGAGGUGAUGAUUAAUAGGGACAGUUGGGGGUAUUCGUAUUCCAUUGUCAGAGGUGAAAUUCUUGGAUUUUUGGAAGACGAACUGCUGCGAAAGCAUUUACCAAGGAUGUUUUCAUUAA
RNAcentral lists this ribosomal RNA (380 nucleotides) under uncultured eukaryote. RNAcentral describes it as "partial 18S ribosomal RNA". It matches the Rfam family "Eukaryotic small subunit ribosomal RNA", at positions 592 to 976 of the family's 1831-position model. The record is from RNAcentral.